RNAcentral lists this ribosomal RNA (1017 nucleotides) under uncultured organism. Its description in RNAcentral is "bacterial SSU rRNA". It matches the Rfam family "Bacterial small subunit ribosomal RNA", at positions 356 to 1376 of the family's 1533-position model. The record is from RNAcentral.
GAGGAAUAUUGGUCAAUGGACGAGAGUCUGAACCAGCCAAGUAGCGUGAAGGAUGACUGCCCUAUGGGUUGUAAACUUCUUUUAUACGGGAAUAAAGUGAGGCACGUGUGCCUUUUUGUAUGUACCGUAUGAAUAAGGAUCGGCUAACUCCGUGCCAGCAGCCGCGGUAAUACGGAGGAUCCGAGCGUUAUCCGGAUUUAUUGGGUUUAAAGGGAGCGUAGGCGGACGCUUAAGUCAGUUGUGAAAGUUUGCGGCUCAACCGUAAAAUUGCAGUUGAUACUGGGUGUCUUGAGUACAGUAGAGGCAGGCGGAAUUCGUGGUGUAGCGGUGAAAUGCUUAGAUAUCACGAAGAACUCCGAUUGCGAAGGCAGCUUGCUGGACUGUAACUGACGCUGAUGCUCGAAAGUGUGGGUAUCAAACAGGAUUAGAUACCCUGGUAGUCCACACAGUAAACGAUGAAUACUCGCUGUUUGCGAUAUACAGUAAGCGGCCAAGCGAAAGCGUUAAGUAUUCCACCUGGGGAGUACGCCGGCAACAGUGAAACUCAAAGGAAUUGACGGGGGCCCGCACAAGCGGAGGAACAUGUGGUUUAAUUCGAUGAUACGCGAGGAACCUUACCCGGGCUUGAAUUGCAACUGAAUGAUGUGGAGACAUGUCAGCCGCAAGGCAGUUGUGAAGGUGCUGCAUGGUUGUCGUCAGCUCGUGCCGUGAGGUGUCGGCUUAAGUGCCAUAACGAGCGCAACCCUUAUCGAUAGUUACCAUCAGGUUAUGCUGGGGACUCUGUCGAGACUGCCGUCGUAAGAUGUGAGGAAGGUGGGGAUGACGUCAAAUCAGCACGGCCCUUACGUCCGGGGCUACACACGUGUUACAAUGGGGGGUACAGAAGGCAGCUACACGGCGACGUGAUGCUAAUCCCGAAAGCCUCUCUCAGUUCGGAUUGGAGUCUGCAACCCGACUCCAUGAAGCUGGAUUCGCUAGUAAUCGCGCAUCAGCCACGGCGCGGUGAAUACGUUCCCG